UCCUUCGGGAGGGGAUUAGUGGCGAACGGGUGAGUAACACGUGGGCAAUCUGCCCUGCACUCUGGGACAAGCCCUGGAAACGGGGUCUAAUACCGGAUACUGACCCGCUUGGGCAUCCAAGCGGUUCGAAAGCUCCGGCGGUGCAGGAUGAGCCCGCGGCCUAUCAGCUUGUUGGUGAGGUAAUGGCUCACCAAGGCGACGACGGGUAGCCGGCCUGAGAGGGCGACCGGCCACACUGGGACUGAGACACGGCCCAGACUCCUACGGGAGGCAGCAGUGGGGAAUAUUGCACAAUGGGCGAAAGCCUGAUGCAGCGACGCCGCGUGAGGGAUGACGGCCUUCGGGUUGUAAACCUCUUUCAGCAGGGAAGAAGCGAAAGUGACGGUACCUGCAGAAGAAGCGCCGGCUAACUACGUGCCAGCAGCCGCGGUAAUACGUAGGGCGCGAGCGUUGUCCGGAAUUAUUGGGCGUAAAGAGCUCGUAGGCGGCUUGUCACGUCGGUUGUGAAAGCCCGGGGCUUAACCCCGGGUCUGCAGUCGAUACGGGCAGGCUAGAGUUCGGUAGGGGAGAUCGGAAUUCCUGGUGUAGCGGUGAAAUGCGCAGAUAUCAGGAGGAACACCGGUGGCGAAGGCGGAUCUCUGGGCCGAUACUGACGCUGAGGAGCGAAAGCGUGGGGAGCGAACAGGAUUAGAUACCCUGGUAGUCCACGCCGUAAACGGUGGGCACUAGGUGUGGGCGACAUUCCACGUCGUCCGUGCCGCAGCUAACGCAUUAAGUGCCCCGCCUGGGGA
Molecule: ribosomal RNA, 791 nt
Filed under: Streptomyces variabilis
Lineage: Bacteria; Bacillati; Actinomycetota; Actinomycetes; Kitasatosporales; Streptomycetaceae
Description: bacterial SSU rRNA
Rfam family: Bacterial small subunit ribosomal RNA
Source: RNAcentral